UAAAAUCCCCAGGCUUAUCAGUAAACACAGCAGUCAGGGAAUUAAAAAAAUUCCGUAUAUACACAACACAGAAAAGGACAGAGAGAGAGAGAGAGAGAGAGAGAAGAAGAGACAGUGAGAGAAUGAGAGAGGAAGAUGUGAAAGUGCAGAGCGGUACGUUCAUCCGGUGUGUCAACAAUUCCCAAGCCUUAACGCUUUGAUGUUGUUGCCUGGUCGUUGUCGAAGUUGGAGCUACAGCAGGAUCCAGUCGAUGAGGAGGAGAAAGGAGCGAGAGAGAGCAGUAGAGAGAGCGAGACGUGAAACGGUAGACAGACGGAGCCACUAAGCCAGACAGUGUCACCACUCGGGUGUUGAUGGCAAUGUUGUUGAUGGCAUCAUUAACGCAUUUUCACAGCCGCCUUUGGGCAUGCCAGACGACGUCGACCGUCAGUGCUCGACCCGUUUCCGGCUUUUGAAGUUCGGUACACAGCCUGCUACCAACACCAUCAUCAGGAACAACAGCAACAACAUCAAUACACAAAAGCAUACUGAAUGGAGCCAGAUUCCUGGCAAAAACGACACUGCGUCAACAUGGCGUAUGAUUAAUAAACUGCUCCCAUGCGGCAAGCCAUGCUUGUUGCCUCGAUUUUUCUCUUUUCCCCUAAG
This is a long non-coding RNA of Drosophila innubila, 645 nucleotides long. RefSeq lists it as uncharacterized. The transcript is spliced from 2 exons. NCBI's taxonomy places the organism in Eukaryota, Metazoa, Arthropoda, Insecta, Diptera, Drosophilidae. The record is from RefSeq and is a predicted model, not a curated record.